Non-coding RNA from Dermacentor andersoni, 544 nucleotides. Lineage: Eukaryota; Metazoa; Arthropoda; Arachnida; Ixodida; Ixodidae. The record is from RefSeq and is a predicted model, not a curated record.
UGCGCUCAGGUUGGUUGCUUCGUUUUCGCUAAAACUAGUUUAUUGCGCUUCGAUGUCACGCGUUAUUUAACCUGGGGUGAAGUGACGUGUUUGCAAGCGGACAUGUAAGCCCGAAAGUUGGGUAUCGGUCGUGAGCCAUUCGGAACACGUCUGCAUCGAAACGGGAGCUGGAUUCUGGUGCGGCUGACAACGGCAAUAACGACAUGCAGUAAUGAGGAUGGCACCAGCAUAAAGCAACACACUCCACACUCUAAACAGAAGCUGCUGCCUACUACAACAAGGCCAUUGUGUGGACAUUGGCUGCUACUACAAGAGUCCAUGCCAAGCAUACCUUGGUCAUCACAGGAGCUCCUAUCCACACCAACAGAAAGGGGCUGGAGCUGAAUUUGCAAGGCUUUUACACCACGAACAAAGAAGCGCAUGCAGAAGAAUUUACAUGAGAUAUCAAGUCUGCAGAGCACUGUGUCAAGACUGAAAAGAGCUUCAGCCACCAUUCCACCAGCGCGGACAAAUUGGCUGAGUCAUCCAGGUAACUCAAAAAGGA